AGUGAACGCUGGCGGUAGGCCUAACACAUGCAAGUCGAACGGCAGCACAGUAAGAGCUUGCUCUUACGGGUGGCGAGUGGCGGACGGGUGAGGAAUACAUCGGAAUCUACUUUUUCGUGGGGGAUAACGUAGGGAAACUUACGCUAAUACCGCAUACGACCUACGGGUGAAAGCAGGGGAUCUUCUGACCUUGCGCGAUUGAAUGAGCCGAUGUCGGAUUAGCUAGUUGGCGGGGUAAAGGCCCACCAAGGCGACGAUCCGUAGCUGGUCUGAGAGGAUGAUCAGCCACACUGGAACUGAGACACGGUCCAGACUCCUACGGGAGGCAGCAGUGGGGAAUAUUGGACAAUGGGCGCAAGCCUGAUCCAGCCAUACCGCGUGGGUGAAGAAGGCCUUCGGGUUGUAAAGCCCUUUUGUUGGGAAAGAAAAGCAGCAGGUUAAUACCCCGCUGUUCUGACGGUACCCAAAGGAUAAGCACCGGCUAACUUCGUG
Molecule: ribosomal RNA, 492 nt
Filed under: uncultured bacterium
Lineage: Bacteria
Description: partial 16S ribosomal RNA
Rfam family: Bacterial small subunit ribosomal RNA
Source: RNAcentral